This 714-nucleotide ribosomal RNA is filed under the name uncultured Gammaproteobacteria bacterium. RNAcentral's name for it is "bacterial SSU rRNA". It matches the Rfam family "Bacterial small subunit ribosomal RNA", at positions 60 to 763 of the family's 1533-position model. The record is from RNAcentral. Lineage: Bacteria; Pseudomonadati; Pseudomonadota; Gammaproteobacteria.
AGUCGAACGGCAGCACAGGAGAGCUUGCUCUCUGGGUGGCGAGUGGCGGACGGGUGAGGAAUACAUCGGAAUCUACUUUUUCGUGGGGGAUAACGUAGGGAAACUUACGCUAAUACCGCAUACGACCUACGGGUGAAAGCAGGGGAUCUUCGGACCUUGCGCGAUUGAAUGAGCCGAUGUCGGAUUAGCUAGUUGGCGGGGUAAAGGCCCACCAAGGCGACGAUCCGUAGCUGGUCUGAGAGGAUGAUCAGCCACACUGGAACUGAGACACGGUCCAGACUCCUACGGGAGGCAGCAGUGGGGAAUAUUGGACAAUGGGCGCAAGCCUGAUCCAGCCAUACCGCGUGGGUGAAGAAGGCCUUCGGGUUGUAAAGCCCUUUUGUUGGGAAAGAAAUCCAGCCGGCUAAUACCUGGUUGGGAUGACGGUACCCAAAGAAUAAGCACCGGCUAACUUCGUGCCAGCAGCCGCGGUAAUACGAAGGGUGCAAGCGUUACUCGGAAUUACUGGGCGUAAAGCGUGCGUAGGUGGUUAUUUAAGUCCGUUGUGAAAGCCCUGGGCUCAACCUGGGAACUGCAGUGGAUACUGGAUGACUAGAAUGUGGUAGAGGGUAGCGGAAUUCCUGGUGUAGCAGUGAAAUGCGUAGAGAUCAGGAGGAACAUCCAUGGCGAAGGCAGCUACCUGGACCAACAUUGACACUGAGGCACGAAAGCGUG